CAGUCGCCGCGGUAAUACAGAGGGUGCAAGCGUUAAUCGGAAUUACUGGGCGUAAAGCGCGCGUAGGUGGUUCGCCAAGUUGGAUGUGAAAUCCCCGGGCUCAACCUGCGAACCGCAUCCAAAACUGGCGAGCUAGAGUAUGGUAGAGGGUGGUGGAAUUUCCUGUGUAGCGGUGAAAUGCGUAGAUAUAGGAAGGAACAUCAGUGGCGAAGGCGACCACCUGGACUGAUACUGACACUGAGGUGCGGAAGCGUGGGGAGCAAACAGGAUUAGAUACCCCAGUAGUCCCUGUCUCUUAUAC
This 301-nucleotide ribosomal RNA is filed under the name uncultured bacterium. RNAcentral's name for it is "partial 16S ribosomal RNA". It matches the Rfam family "Bacterial small subunit ribosomal RNA", at positions 509 to 807 of the family's 1533-position model. The record is from RNAcentral.